Molecule: ribosomal RNA, 250 nt
Filed under: uncultured bacterium
Lineage: Bacteria
Description: partial 16S ribosomal RNA
Rfam family: Bacterial small subunit ribosomal RNA
Source: RNAcentral
UACGUAGGGUGCAAGCGUUAAUCGGAAUUACUGGGCGUAAAGCGUGCGCAGGCGGUUAUGCAAGACAGAUGUGAAAUCCCCGGGCUCAACCUGGGAACUGCAUUUGUGACUGCAUGACUUGAGUACGGUAGAGGGGGAUGGAAUUCCGCGUGUAGCAGUGAAAUGCGUAGAUAUGCGGAGGAACACCGAUGGCGAAGGCAAUCCCCUGGACCUGUACUGACGCUCAGGCACGAAAGCGUGGGGAGCAAAC